UGAUUAAUUAUUUUAAUUUGACUGUAAAGGUAAAUUUUAUUUAUUUAAUAAUUGAUUUAUAAGUUGUACCUUUUGUAUCAGGAUUUAUUAAAAAUGUUUUAUUAGUAAAUUUUCUUGAAAUAAAAAGAUUUAAUUUUAUAAAUAUAUUAAUGUAUAAUUAUUAAUUUUAAUAUAAUUUUGGUUUUGAAAUAAAUAUAGAUUUUUUAUAUCUAGUUGCUUUUUUUUUAAUUUAAUUAAUUUUUUUUUAGUGAUGUUUUUGUUAAAAUAAAUUAUAUUUAUAGGGAUAAGCUUAUAAAUUUUAUAAUAGUUUUGUUUUUAUUUAUUAAUUUAUUUAUUUAGAGAUAAUAAUUCAUUUAAUUUGUUAAAAUUAACUAAUAUAGUAUUAAUAAUUUAGUAUAUAACUUUAUUGAGGGAUAAAGUUGUUUUAUUGAAUAUUAAAAUGUUAUUAAUUAUGAUAAAAUUAGUAGAUAAAUAAAUUUAAAUUAAGAACUUGGCAAUUUGAAUUUUCAAUUGUUUAUCAAAAACAUUUCUGUAAGAAAAAUAUUUUUGGUUUAACCUGCUCCAUGCUUGUGUUAAUAGCUGCAGUAUUUUGACUGUACAAAGGUAGCAUAAUCAUUAGUCUUUUAAUUGGAGGCUUGUAUGAAUGGUUGAAUGAAAAAUUAACUUUUUUAUUUAAAUGAUUAUUUAAUUUAAUUUUAAAGUUAAAAAGCUUUAGUAGUUAAAAGGGACGAGAAGACCCUAUAGAAUUUGAAAAAUUUCUUGAGAAUUUAUUUUUAAUUGGGGUGAUUGGAAACUAACUUUUCUUUUUUUGUUCAUAUUUGUGUGACUAAAAGAUCUUAAAUUUUUGAUAAAAAGUUUAAAUUACCUUAGGGAUAACAGCAUAAUUUUUUUUUUAAGUUCAUAUUUAUAGAAAAGUUUAUGACCUCGAUGUUGAAUUAAAAUUAUAUUUAAAUGUAGUUAUUUAAGUAUUUAGUCUGUUCGACUAUAAUUUUUUACAUGAUUUGAGUUCAGACCGGUGUGAGCCAGGUUGGUUUCUAUCUUUUUAUUUAUGUUUUGACUUAGUACGAAAGGAUUAGUUAAUUAAAUUUAUAUUUUACGAUAUAAUUAAUUU
This 1111-nucleotide ribosomal RNA is filed under the name Leptynoptera sulfurea. Its description in RNAcentral is "16S ribosomal RNA". The record is from RNAcentral. Lineage: Eukaryota; Metazoa; Arthropoda; Insecta; Hemiptera; Triozidae.